This is a long non-coding RNA of Cucumis sativus (cucumber), 705 nucleotides long. RefSeq lists it as uncharacterized. NCBI's taxonomy places the organism in Eukaryota, Viridiplantae, Streptophyta, Magnoliopsida, Cucurbitales, Cucurbitaceae. The record is from RefSeq and is a predicted model, not a curated record. The transcript is spliced from 2 exons.
CACUCUCCAAACUGGCAUCACACAAUAAUAAUACAAAUAUGUAUAUCAAACUUCAAACAUAACUAUAAAGUCCUUCAUUCUCAAGGAUUCUUCAAACUAAACCUUCUUCUUCAUCACCCCUUCGUCCUCAUCAUCAACGCCUUUGCUCAUCUUAGCUUCUCCAACAUGUACUUGUAACUAUAAAUUUAUAUCUAUCGCAACACUCGGGUGGAUUGAUUGCUAUAACCCAUAUACUUUCAAAAUGAUGCUAUUUUUCAAGGAUCAUCGAACAAAACAACCUAAGCUUUCAACUUACAAAGGUCAUCACCGUUUAACCAUAGUUUAUGACGGUGAUGGAGAAUCAUGAGAGUCGUCCCCUUACUAUCAAAAGGUGAAAAUCAACUAAAAGGAGAAGAAAUGGCAAUUUAGCAAUAUGAGAAUGCAUAAUCUCACAUAAUGCAUUUUCCUUUGAUUUUAUUGCGAUAUAUGCUUCUCUUUUAAUAUAUAGUGUAUGCUCAUCAUGAAAAAAACAGAUCCAACGUUGCUUGUACUUGGAGGAGUUCCCCUUAAACCAUACUUCAGAAGAAUUUUUCUUCUUUUCUUUUACAAUAAUAUGUACUUAGGGUUUCCCCCUUCAUGUUAAGUUUGGCCAUGCAAUCAUAGUUCAUGUUGUAUUAUUUCAAAUGUUGCUUCAUUUGGGUUAUUAUAAUUAGUUUACUGUUAAAA